GAAAAAAUAUUAGUUAAUAAUUUUGAAUUAUUGAAAUUUAUUAAAAGUAGUUUUAUAAUAAAGGUUUAAGUAUAUUUAUAAAAAAAAUUUGUUAACUUAUAGUUUAUUAGUACUGUGGAGGAAAUAUGAAAUAAUAGGAAGAAUUAUUAAAAUAAAAGAAGAAGUUUAAUUUGUACCUUGUGUAUCAGGGUUUAUUAAUUAAGAAUUAAGAAUUUUAAACAUCUCGAAUUAAAAAGAGCAAAAAUAAUAUGAUAAUUAGUGUGGUAAUAUUAUUAUAUAUAUUAUUUUUUGUAAUGAAAUGUUAAUCGAUUUUUAAGUUAUCUAGUUCCUUAAGAGGUAAAUUGAAUUUAGAAUAUUAUAGUUAAAUUUUAUUUUUUUAAUAAGAUAUAGAUAAUAUUUAAUGUGGAAAGGGAUAAGCUUUUCUAUAUUAAUUAUAAUUUUUGUAAAUAGAAGUAAAAUGUAAGCUUUAAAUUAGCUAUCAUUAGGAUAUUGUUAUAAAUUAUUUUUUUUUUAUAUUAUUAGAUUUUAUAGAAAUUUUAAUUUGUUUAUUAGGGUGAUUUAAAUAAUAAAUAUAUAUAAGUAAUAAUGGUGGAAUUAGUAUAUAGAUUUGUUUUAAAUAAUUUAUAAUAAAAUUUAUAAUAAGGAAUUAGGCAAAAUUGUUGCUCGCCUGUUUAUCAAAAACAUCUUCUUUAGAUUUAAUUUAAGGUAGGGCCUGCCCACUGAAAAUUAAAGGGCCGCGGUAUUAUGACCGUGCAAAGGUAGCAUAAUCAUUUGUCUUUUAAUUGAAGGCUAGAAUGAAUGGUUUGACGAAGUAACAACUGUCUCAUUAUAAAAUAUAAAAUUUUACUUUUAAGUUAAAAGGCUUAAAUAAAGGUGGAGGACGAGAAGACCCUAUAGAGUUUUAUAAAUGAUUUUUGUCAUAAAGUUUGGUGGUUUUGAAAUGUGAUAUUGAUAUUUAUUUUGUUGGGGUGACAAAAAGAUAAAAUAAACUCUUUUUCUAAUUAAACAUAAAUUUAUGAUUUAUUGAUCCAUUAUUAGUGAUUAUAAGAAAAAAUUACCUUAGGGAUAACAGCGUAAUUUCUUUUAAGAGUUCAUAUCAAUAAAGAAGAUUGCGACCUCGAUGUUGGAUUAAAGAUAUUAUUAGGUGUAGUCGUUUAAAUAAUAGGUCUGUUCGACCUUUAAAUCUUUACAUGAUCUGAGUUCAGACCGGUGUAAGCCAGGUCGGUUUCUAUCCUCAUUAAAAUUGUAUAUUUUAGUACGAAAGGACCAAAUAUAGUAAAUAAUUUUAUAAUAAUUAGAGUGAAAAUAA
Molecule: ribosomal RNA, 1309 nt
Filed under: Ruidocollaris convexipennis
Lineage: Eukaryota; Metazoa; Arthropoda; Insecta; Orthoptera; Tettigoniidae
Description: 16S ribosomal RNA
Rfam family: Archaeal large subunit ribosomal RNA (bases 620-1309)
Source: RNAcentral